GCCCUUGUGGAUCAUGGUUGAUCAUCUUUGUCUCAUAGUUUGGUGAGGCUCUCUUCAUGAAGAUGUUGUAGGUUCGAAUCCUACCGAGGGCA
Molecule: non-coding RNA, 92 nt
Organism: Mycena leptocephala
Lineage: Eukaryota; Fungi; Basidiomycota; Agaricomycetes; Agaricales; Mycenaceae
Source: the annotation of a GenBank genome assembly